Long non-coding RNA from Xenopus laevis (African clawed frog), 605 nucleotides. RefSeq lists it as uncharacterized. Lineage: Eukaryota; Metazoa; Chordata; Amphibia; Anura; Pipidae. The record is from RefSeq and is a predicted model, not a curated record. The transcript is spliced from 3 exons.
GGAGUUGAUUGGACCUCUCUCUCUCUGUACUUGAAAUGCCAGGGCCUAUUUUGACUCCCAGUCUAGACCUGCUCCCCAAUACACUAAAUCGCUGUCGCUUUUUGUUAUGCUUUCAUAAACAACUUCUUUUGCUUUUGUCUAGUAUUUCGCAACCAAGUGGCGAGAAAGCUGCUGGGAAAACAUUCUCCGGAGCUCAAAACAGAUACAAAUGGUGCCCCCAAGUGGACACGACUGGGAAAGCAUAAUGGAAAAAUGAAUAGGCAAGAAUUUUUUUUAAUGCUUCCCCCCCCCCCAGAACCGAAAAAAAAAAAAAAUUCCAAUAGUGACGGAAACUGAGUGACAGAGACGGAACCUUAAGGGACUUCCAUGAAUACUUUUAAUUUAAGGAGACUUCAGUGCAAACCUGUCCGAGUCCCAUCAGAUCUGCUCUGCACAGAGGUUCAGCCGAAACCCCCCCCAUUCACAUAAAUGAAUAAUUUCAUAAUAAUAAUGAAAGAAGAUCCGUAAUCUGGCAUCAGGACUGUCUGUUAAAUUAAAAGGCAGCAGAAUGCAGGCUCAGUGAUGGAUGAAGCCCACGUAGAGGAGGAAAAGAAAUGGAGUCACAG